CAACAUCACCACCGUUGUUGCCACCAUUGCAACACCCGCGGCCGCUGCCGCCGCGAUGGGCGCCCAAUUCUCGAAGCAGGUCGAGCGCCGCAAGGCGGUGGCGGCCGAGCGGCGGGCGCUGGCCGACCUUCUGGAGUCGGCGGGCGACCAAUUCCCGGGCUCUGACUUCCGGCCCGCCGACCGCAAGGCGUGGAUGUCGGCCCUCGGCCCCGACAAGCUCCGGAUCAGCCAGAUCGUCUGGCCGGGCACCCACGACUCCGCCACCAACAAGAUCGGCGUCCGCUUCGUCUCCCGGCCCUUCGCCCGAUGCCAGGACUGCUCCGUCUACCG
Molecule: long non-coding RNA, 330 nt
Filed under: Ananas comosus (pineapple)
Lineage: Eukaryota; Viridiplantae; Streptophyta; Magnoliopsida; Poales; Bromeliaceae
Description: long non-coding RNA (ACOM_LNC033748)
Source: RNAcentral